UACGAAGGGGGCUAGCGUUGUUCGGAAUUACUGGGCGUAAAGCGUGCGCAGGCGGCUUCUCAAGUCAGGGGUGAAAGCCCAGAGCUCAACUCUGGAAUUGCCUUUGAGACUGAGUGCGCUUGAGUACGAGAGAGGUGAGUGGAAUUCCCAGUGUAGAGGUGAAAUUCGUAGAUAUUGGGAAGAACACCGGUGGCGAAGGCGGCUCACUGGCUCGUAACUGACGCUCAUGCACGACAGCGUGGGGAUCAAACAGG
This 254-nucleotide ribosomal RNA is filed under the name uncultured bacterium. RNAcentral's name for it is "partial 16S ribosomal RNA". It matches the Rfam family "Bacterial small subunit ribosomal RNA", at positions 524 to 776 of the family's 1533-position model. The record is from RNAcentral.